UACGGAGGGUGCAAGCGUUAAUCGGAAUUACUGGGCGUAAAGCGUGCGCAGGCGGUUUGUUAAGUCCGUUGUGAAAGCCCCGAGCUCAACUUGGGAAUUGCAGUGGAUACUGGCAGGCUGGAGUACGGUAGAGGAAGGUGGAAUUCCCGGUGUAGCAGUGAAAUGCGUAGAUAUCGGGAGGAACACCUGUGGCGAAAGCGGCUCACUGGACCAUAACUGACGCUGAUGCACGAAAGCUGGGGGAGCAAACAGG
This 253-nucleotide ribosomal RNA is filed under the name uncultured bacterium. RNAcentral describes it as "partial 16S ribosomal RNA". It matches the Rfam family "Bacterial small subunit ribosomal RNA", at positions 524 to 776 of the family's 1533-position model. The record is from RNAcentral.